UACUCGAGUGGCGAACGGGUGAGUAACACGUGGGUGAUCUGCCCUGCACUCUGGGAUAAGCCUUGGGAAACUGGGUCUAAUACCGGAUAGGACCAUGCUUUAGUGUGUGUGGUGGAAAGUUUUUUCGGUGUAGGAUGAGCCCGCGGCCUAUCAGCUUGUUGGUGGGGUAAUGGCCUACCAAGGCGGCGACGGGUAGCCGGACUGAGAGGUUGGUCGGCCACAUUGGGACUGAGAUACGGCCCAG
Molecule: ribosomal RNA, 244 nt
Filed under: uncultured Actinomycetales bacterium
Lineage: Bacteria; Bacillati; Actinomycetota; Actinomycetes; Actinomycetales
Description: partial 16S ribosomal RNA
Rfam family: Bacterial small subunit ribosomal RNA
Source: RNAcentral